GAGAGCAAAACUGCCAUCGAUGCAGGAAGUCACUCAUCGACAUCAUUGCUGUAUGUUUCUUCCUCCGUUAGCUCCGGUCCGUGCUUCGCAGGCUCACCAUUCGCCCAGCGGUAGCCGUCUCGGAUCCGACUCCUUUACACGAUCGGCUUUGUCAUUGUCGUAGCUUCCAAUCUCGCUGUUACUAGUGACCAGAAUAUAGAAAAACGAGUUUUAGAAGAUAAAGAUCACUUGGCUUCUCAGUCUUGAAGCGCUUAUGUGGACAGCAAAUCAUCAAUUUGUUCAUUGUGAUUGUGAUUGAAUAUCCUGCAGCUGUAUUAUUUAUUGCUGGUACAGGCCUGUAUGCCCAUCAUAAUGAUGAAAAGUGAGCAAUUGUAAAAGGGUCAUUCACCCCCCUCUAGCUGGCCGCCAGCGAUCCAACAAUUGAUAUCAGAGUCAGGUCACUUCAGGAGGACUAACCGUCGAAGGAAGCACACGAGAUGACCGGAUCAAGCAUCUACCUACCAAAGUUCGAGGUGGAAUUCACCAACUGGAAGAAAAAGAUAGAGGUUCAGAACAAAGUAUUAGUUUUGAGAGAAAUAAUAACAACAGACCAGCUAUUGGAGGGGCCGUUCAAGUUGUUUGAUACUGAAAAUAAAACUGUAACUGAGUCAACCUUCUGUGGCAAUUGGGUACUCAUGUACUUGGGUUACACUUCAUCACCUGAUGCUGGUCCAAGACAAGUUAAAAAAUGGCUGACGUUAUGAAAAUACUAGCUCUCACUUCCUUUCGUGCUCCCAAGAAUUUGAUCAUAGGAAUAACAGGUCCUGAAUCUGCUAUAAGACAGACUACAAGGAGGUUCCGCGUAUACCACAAGGGAUGCCAUGCCUUCACAAUUCGGGUACCUACUAGAUUCAAUUAUGGAGAUGGUUUAGAUUCAUUGGAGCAGAAUAUGAUCCACAACAAUUAGCUGAGGCCAUAAAGAUGGAGGUAAACACGAGUUCGAGAUGAACAAACAACUAUCUUUUGUAAGAACCUUUGGGCUCCCAUUUAGUGUGUAUGUUUCAGUCGUCCCAGAAAGUAUGAUCAAAUUUAAAUUGCAUUGAUAGGGAGGCCCAAUCAGAUUUGGUCAGGAAUGUCCAUCAGAUUCAUGUUGGAAUUUACAUUUUGUUAUUUACUGGCAUUCUAGGCAACUAGGGCUCAAUUCCCACGCAGCACACUCGACGACUGUGAGCUCAAAUUGCUUGUGACACUGAGUCAUCUAUUGUGGUUCAUCUGUACUUUUU
This is a long non-coding RNA of Zingiber officinale, 1262 nucleotides long. RefSeq lists it as uncharacterized. The record is from RefSeq and is a predicted model, not a curated record. Lineage: Eukaryota; Viridiplantae; Streptophyta; Magnoliopsida; Zingiberales; Zingiberaceae. The transcript has 7 exons.